GAACGAACGCUGGCGGCAGGCCUAACACAUGCAAGUCGAACGGCAGCACAGAAGAGCUUGCUCUUUGGGUGGCGAGUGGCGGACGGGUGAGUAAUGUCUGGGAAACUGCCCGAUGGAGGGGGAUAACUACUGGAAACGGUAGCUAAUACCGCAUAACGUCGCAAGACCAAAGUGGGGGACCUUCGGGCCUCACACCAUCGGAUGUGCCCAGAUGGGAUUAGCUAGUAGGUGGGGUAAUGGCUCACCUAGGCGACGAUCCCUAGCUGGUCUGAGAGGAUGACCA
This 283-nucleotide ribosomal RNA is filed under the name uncultured Pantoea sp. RNAcentral describes it as "partial 16S ribosomal RNA". It matches the Rfam family "Bacterial small subunit ribosomal RNA", at positions 27 to 306 of the family's 1533-position model. The record is from RNAcentral. Lineage: Bacteria; Pseudomonadati; Pseudomonadota; Gammaproteobacteria; Enterobacterales; Erwiniaceae.